This 269-nucleotide unclassified non-coding RNA is filed under the name uncultured fungus. RNAcentral's name for it is "partial contains 5.8S ribosomal RNA, internal transcribed spacer 2, and large subunit ribosomal RNA". Lineage: Eukaryota; Fungi. The record is from RNAcentral.
AACGCACAUUGCGCCCUUUGGUAUUCCGAGGGGCAUGCCUGUCCGAGCGUCAUUCACGUCCACUCAAGCCCCGGCUUGGUGUUGGGCGGCGGGGGCCCCCUCUUCUGGCGCCCCCCGCGCCCCAAUUCCCCCGGCCGGACCGCCCGAUCGCCAGCGUUGUGGUAUUCAAUCCGCUCGCGGGAGGGAGGUGCGCCGUGCCGUCAGAAAACCCGUCCUUUUGGAAACUUCGGGUGGACCUCGGAUCAGGUAGGGAUACCCGCUGAACUUAA